Molecule: RNA transcript, 3327 nt
Organism: Mustela erminea (ermine)
Lineage: Eukaryota; Metazoa; Chordata; Mammalia; Carnivora; Mustelidae
Gene name: zinc finger protein 28 homolog
Exons: 5
Source: RefSeq, a predicted model, not a curated record
UAUCAGGCUAAUUCACUCUCUUUGCCAAAACAAAAUGCAGUUCCCCUUUCCUAGAAUCUGGGUUGGGCCUACAACUUGCUUUCAUCAAGAGAACGUGACAGAAGGGACGCGGUGCCAGCUCCAGGUCAGAAACUAAGAAGGCUGUUUUAUCCUCAGGGAAGCUCAGGGGAGGAGUCUAGCCAUCCUGCUGGAAAGGCAUUAAGAGACCAAGUGAAGAGGGACAGGGUCUGAGAGUACAUGAAAUAAAGCUGAGGAACCCACUGGCAGCGAAAACAGAGGCCUAGCCACGGGACUUCCAGUUAGGUUUCACGCUCUGAACGAAGAGGCCACCUUCGGUAUCCAAGCAGCAGGUACCGAAUAACAGAAAUGCAGUCUUAACCUGCCAUGCAAGAACCUCCGGGUCGCCACAACGGUCAUCGGUCACACAGGUCCUCUAUCCCCCAAAGGAAGAGAUGACCCACCUAAUUAGGACCCCCACCCUUGCUCCAAGGGAAGAUGGCCUUGCCCGGAACAACCCUUUUCUUUUGCUAAUAACCCUCUCGGCCCACCCGCUUCCGAUAAAGUCCUACGUGGCCCUCCUCGGUGCUCAGGGUACUCGCUCGUCCGCUGCCAGGUGCAUGCAUCGCUUCACGAAGGCGAUCGGACCUUCAGUUUACUCAGUUUUGUUCCCGGGCAGCGCCUCCGACCCGGGCGCAGACGCGCCGCCUCAUCUGCCUCCGCCCGAGCCUGCCACCAGUUCGGUUCCAUCCCCAGCUGCUCACGGACAAAGAGUAGUAGGGCUGGGGAGGCCUGGGUCACAGCCGGUCUUCCUUCACCAAACCCGCACACGGUAACUCAGAGGUUCCAGUCACCUGCCCCUGGCCGCACGGUCCUCCCCACGGAGCCCUCCACAGCGCCACUACUUGCAGCCGUAUCACAGGUCAACACUAAGGAAAUUUUACGGUACUGGACACGGAAUGAGCGGAUCUGAGCGCGGGACGCCCCGGCCAAGCCCCAUACCCGUCCUGGCAACAAGCGGCGUGGUGAAGACCAGCCCCAAGGAGCAAGAGGAGGCCAAGCACCCGCCCAAGGUGUCCGAGGUUCCGCGCGGAACGGAGAGUCCACUUCACAGCCCUGCCUCGCCCACCGGCCGCAGUGGAUUCUGGGAGUCCGCUCCGCUGCGGUGUGCGCAUGCGUGCCCCCGCCGCCGUGGUCUCGGAGUCCCAAACGCCCCGUUGUUCUGCCCAGCCAGAAGCAGAGCUUCAGUAUUGAGGGGCGAAUAUAGAACCGGGAAUGCCUGGGUUAGGAACAAACCAAAAGCCCUUAUCCAAAAAAGCAUGGUCUCCUUUCUCCCGGUCUCGGGACUGGCAUGGGUGAAGGAAAGCUUUUGCGGAUGAGGAUGCGCAUGCGUACGGGCGACAGCGGAAGCGGUGCCUCAGCUUCCUGUGUCUCCGGUGGGAGCGUUGGGAGGGAACGCGGUCGGGAGUACUGGAACACGCAUGUGUGCGGGCUGGCGUGCGGGGCGGCGGAAGGACGUUUGCUGCGCAGGCGCGUGGAGUCCCACGCCGCCGCUCUCCGCGGAGUGGUAGAGGCGUUCGGAAGUGGCAGGUUGGGACUUCCGCGCCGUGCGGAACAGACGCUCUGGGGGCGCGUCGGAGGGGCUCGGGUACUGGUGAUCCCUGAGGGCGGGGGCCCGGGGGUCAGCGUCGGGGUGUGGGCGGCCUCGGUGGGGCCCUGGAGGCGCCCGGGUGGGGGCUGCAGGGACCGCUGUUGGAGCUCCACGGAGGCUGUGUGACGGGAACGUCGUCCGUCUCUCCGAGCCCCGACUCGCUCCCGCGGGAGACCGGACGCCGUCUCUCGAACAGCGGACAGCGUCCGACCUUUCGGUGCCGGGAAUGGUGCCCUGCCCCGCCCAAACAGGCGGGGGCCUGGCUGCCAUGGAGUGGUUGCCCGCCGCGCCCCGAGAUUGCGGUUUUCAGAACCAGCCGCGGCCCUCAUAUCUGUCCGAUGAGGAAGACGAAGUGUGUUUUGUUGCAGUUGGCAGUUGUGCUGGCUGGAGAGGACGCCGCGGGCUCGCUUGUGUAGUAGUACGGCGGUCACUGCACCAAACGCGCGCUGGGCAGGCGCCGGGCGCAGUGGAGCGUGCGCCUCGACCGCUGGGCCUCGGGCGGCGCGUCGCGCUUGCAGCUGCUGGGGUCCGCGCUCUUCCAGCUGGUGUCUCAGGAUCCAGCCCUUCUCAGGGAGAGACAUUUAGACAAAGAGGAAUGGUUGCUUCAGCGCCAGCAGAGCAUCAAGCUCUGCAUCCACAGGACUCCGGUCUUCAAGAGAGGGGCUCCAUGAAGGGGAGGGUAACCCCUGGACUUCUAGAAGGCACAUCACUGACGUAUGUACAUAUACUUGUCCAAAAAAGAUCUGGAUCCUGUCAUACAUGCCAUAACACCCACACCUUGCAAGUCUUUCCGCCAAGACCUAGCCCUUUUCUCCAAGACCUUGUGAAUAAGAAAGUGUUUGGAAUUUCAGCGAUCAGUAACGUUCCAAGAUGUGGCCACCAACUUUUCCCAAGAAGAAUGGCGAUUCCUGAACCCUGCUCAGAGAAAAUUGUACACAGUGGUGAUGUCGGAGAAUUAUCAGAACCUGGUUUGGCUUGGGUAAGUGCAUCGAGCCUUGAAUUCAGUGUCUGGUCUCUGGUGGAUCUUCUUCCUUUCAGUAGAAUUCUCUAGGGGAACUACUGUGGUCUUUGCUUUAUUUUUUUGUUCCAUGUCCCAUAAAGAGCAGUGAGAAGUGGGCAACUCUCUUGUUCUCAUCUUUCAGGAAAUCUUUAAACUUUGCUUGGUCAUUUUCAUAAGGGCUUUUCUUCCUGAGGGCUGUGGUAGCGGGGCUCAAUUCUCAGGUAAUAAUGGCAUGGCCGUUUGCUGUCUCUUUUUCUUUGCCCAGGCAUUUCUAUCUCUAAGCCUGAUGUAGGUUUCCUACUGUAGCAAGGGAAACAGGUGUGGGGGAUGAGAAGCAAGGAGGCAAGAUAUUCAUGAGCAGAUGAGUGGGGAACCAGGCAGGGGGAGGCGACACAUGCGUAAGGCCGGCUGCUCUGACAACAGCCUUGAGGUGUUUGGACACCUCCCUUCAGAGGGCCCUUUAGUUCAGUUCCAGAGUGGAUCUGGCUUUCAUCUGUCUUUUAAAAUAAUUCCUUCCAGCCUCCAGAUGGAAGUGAGUCUCCCCUAGCUUCCGCAGUUAAUGAUCCGCUUCCUGCUUUUGCUCUCCAGGUGGUUUCUCACUGGCUCAUCUUCCUGCUUUUUUUCUUUUCAUUCAUAUGGCUAUUCUUUCGAAAACAUUCAUCAGGGCUUCUGUUUUCUU